UUNUGAACUGGGUAGCUAGAGUAUGUCAGAGGGGGGUAGAAUUCCACGUGUAGCAGUGAAAUGCGUAGAGAUGUGGAGGAAUACCGAUGGCGAAGGCAGCCCCCUGGGAUAAUACUGACGUUCAUGCUNGAAAGCGUGGGUAGCAAACAGGAUUAGAUACCCUGGUAGUCCACGCCCUAAACGAUGUCGAUUAGCUGUUGGGCAACUUGAUUGCUUAGUAGCGUAGCUAACGCGUGAAAUCGACCGCCUGGGGAGUACGGUCGCAAGAUUAAAACUCAAAGGAAUUGACGGGGACCCGCACAAGCGGUGGAUGAUGUGGAUUAAUUCGAUGCAACGCGAAGAACCUUACCUGGUCUUGACAUGUACGGAAGAACUCAGAGACGAGUUUGUGCCUUCGGGAGCCGUAACACAGGUGCUGCAUGGCUGUCGUCAGCUCGUGUCGUGAGAUGUUGGGUUAAGUCCCGCAACGAGCGCAACCCUUGUCAUUAGUUGCCAUCAUUUAGUUGGGCACUCUAAUGAGACUGCCGGUGACAAACCGGAGGAAGGUGGGGAUGACGUCAAGUCCUCAUGGCCCUUAUGACCAGGGCUUCACACGUCAUACAAUGGUCGGUACAGAGGGUAGCCAAGCCGCGAGGUGGAGCCAAUCCCAGAAAACCGAUCGUAGUCCGGAUUGCACUCUGCAACUCGAGUGCAUGAAGUCGGAAUCGCUAGUAAUCGCAGGUCAGCAUACUGCGGCGAAUACGUUCCCGGGUCUUGUACACACCGCCCGU
This 770-nucleotide ribosomal RNA is filed under the name uncultured bacterium. Its description in RNAcentral is "bacterial SSU rRNA". It matches the Rfam family "Bacterial small subunit ribosomal RNA", at positions 626 to 1397 of the family's 1533-position model. The record is from RNAcentral.